RNAcentral lists this small RNA (429 nucleotides) under Pan troglodytes (chimpanzee). RNAcentral describes it as "processed transcript". Lineage: Eukaryota; Metazoa; Chordata; Mammalia; Primates; Hominidae. The record is from RNAcentral.
GCCUCUAAUGCAGAAGCAACGAUAUGUGCGUAUGGACAGCUCAGGACUUCAGGAAAGAAACACUGACUUUUGGAAUACCUUGGCAAGCAGCUCCAAUCCGAGCAGCCCCAGACUGCUGCCGCCCGAAGCUAAGCCUGCCUCUGGCCUUCCCCUCCGCCUCAAUGCAGAACCAGUAGUGGGAGCACUGUGUUUAGAGUUAAGAGUGAACACUGUUUGAUUUUACUUGGAAUUUCCUCUGUUAUAUAGCUUUUCCCAAUGCUAAUUUCCAAACAACAACAACAACAACAAAAUAACAUGUUUGCCUGUUAAGUUGUAUAAAAGUAGGUGAUUCUGUAUUUAAAGAAAAUAUUAUUGUUACAUAUACUGCUUGCAAUCUCUGUAUUUAUUGUUCUCUGGAAAUAAAUAUAGUUAUUAAAGGAUUCUCACUCC